UUGGAGGCACUGCCUGCCCAGUGACAAACGUUAAACGGCCGCGGUAUCCUGACCGUGCAAAGGUAGCAUAAUCAUUUGUUCUCUAAAUAAGGACUUGUAUGAACGGCCACACGAGGGUUUUACUGUCUCUUACUUCCAAUCAGUGAAAUUGACCUUCCCGUGAAGAGGCGGGAAUAGACAAAUAAGACAAGAAGACCCUAUGGAGCUUUAACUAAUUAGUCCAAAGAAAACAAACUCAACCACCAAGGGACAACAACAUCCUCCGUGGACUAACAGCUUUGGUUGGGGUGACCUCGGAGAAAAAAAAAUCCUCCCAGCGAUUUUAAAGACUAGACCCACAAGUCAAAUCGAACUAUCGCUCAUUGAUCCAAAAACUUGAUCAACGGAACAAGUUACCCUAGGGAUAACAGCGCACUCCUAUUCAAGAGUCCAUAUCGACAAUAGGGUUUACGACCUCNAUNUUGGAUCAGGACACCCCGAUGGUGCAACCGCUAUCAAA
RNAcentral lists this ribosomal RNA (499 nucleotides) under Cephalophorus nigrifrons (black-fronted duiker). RNAcentral describes it as "partial large subunit ribosomal RNA". It matches the Rfam family "Bacterial large subunit ribosomal RNA", at positions 1846 to 2569 of the family's 2925-position model. The record is from RNAcentral. Lineage: Eukaryota; Metazoa; Chordata; Mammalia; Artiodactyla; Bovidae.